GACGAACGCUGGCGGCGUGCUUAACACAUGCAAGUCGAACGGAAAGGCCCUGCUUUUGUGGGGUGCUCGAGUGGCGAACGGGUGAGUAACACGUGAGUAACCUGCCCUUGACUUUGGGAUAACUUCAGGAAACUGGGGCUAAUACCGGAUAGGAGCUCCUGCUGCAUGGUGGGGGUUGGAAAGUUUCGGCGGUUGGGGAUGGACUCGCGGCUUAUCAGCUUGUUGGUGGGGUAGGGGCUUACCAAGGCUUUGACGGGUAGCCGGCCUGAGAGGGUGACCGGCCACAUUGGGACUGAGGUACGGCCCAGACUCCUACGGGAGGCAGCAGUGGGGAAUAUUGCACAAUGGGCGGAAGCCUGAUGCAGCAACGCCGCGUGCGGGAUGACGGCCUUCGGGUUGUAAACCGCUUUCGCCUGUGACGAAGCGUGAGUGACGGUAAUGGGUAAAGAAGCACCGGCUAACUACGUG
Molecule: ribosomal RNA, 468 nt
Filed under: uncultured bacterium
Lineage: Bacteria
Description: partial 16S ribosomal RNA
Rfam family: Bacterial small subunit ribosomal RNA
Source: RNAcentral